This 2900-nucleotide ribosomal RNA is filed under the name Klebsiella pneumoniae. RNAcentral describes it as "23S ribosomal RNA". It matches the Rfam family "Bacterial large subunit ribosomal RNA". Lineage: Bacteria; Pseudomonadati; Pseudomonadota; Gammaproteobacteria; Enterobacterales; Enterobacteriaceae. The record is from RNAcentral.
UUAAGCGACUAAGCGUACACGGUGGAUGCCCUGGCAGUCAGAGGCGAUGAAGGACGUGCUAAUCUGCGAAAAGCGUCGGUAAGGUGAUAUGAACCGUUAUAACCGGCGAUGUCCGAAUGGGGAAACCCAGUGCAAUUCGUUGCACUAUCGUUAACUGAAUACAUAGGUUAACGAGGCGAACCGGGGGAACUGAAACAUCUAAGUACCCCGAGGAAAAGAAAUCAACCGAGAUUCCCCCAGUAGCGGCGAGCGAACGGGGAGCAGCCCAGAGUCUGAAUCAGCUUGUGUGUUAGUGGAACGGUCUGGAAAGUCCGACGGUACAGGGUGAUAGUCCCGUACACCAAAAUGCACAGGCUGUGAACUCGAAGAGUAGGGCGGGACACGUGGUAUCCUGUCUGAAUAUGGGGGGACCAUCCUCCAAGGCUAAAUACUCCUGACUGACCGAUAGUGAACCAGUACCGUGAGGGAAAGGCGAAAAGAACCCCGGCGAGGGGAGUGAAAAAGAACCUGAAACCGUGUACGUACAAGCAGUGGGAGCACCUUCGGGUGUGACUGCGUACCUUUUGUAUAAUGGGUCAGCGACUUAUAUUCUGUAGCAAGGUUAACCGUAUAGGGGAGCCGCAGGGAAACCGAGUCUUAACUGGGCGUUAAGUUGCAGGGUAUAGACCCGAAACCCGGUGAUCUAGCCAUGGGCAGGUUGAAGGUUGGGUAACACUAACUGGAGGACCGAACCGACUAAUGUUGAAAAAUUAGCGGAUGACUUGUGGCUGGGGGUGAAAGGCCAAUCAAACCGGGAGAUAGCUGGUUCUCCCCGAAAGCUAUUUAGGUAGCGCCUCGUGAAUUCAUCUUCGGGGGUAGAGCACUGUUUCGGCUAGGGGGUCAUCCCGACUUACCAACCCGAUGCAAACUACGAAUACCGAAGAAUGUUAUCACGGGAGACACACGGCGGGUGCUAACGUCCGUCGUGAAGAGGGAAACAACCCAGACCGCCAGCUAAGGUCCCAAAGUCAUGGUUAAGUGGGAAACGAUGUGGGAAGGCACAGACAGCCAGGAUGUUGGCUUAGAAGCAGCCAUCAUUUAAAGAAAGCGUAAUAGCUCACUGGUCGAGUCGGCCUGCGCGGAAGAUGUAACGGGGCUAAACCAUGCACCGAAGCUGCGGCAGCGACACUAUGUGUUGUUGGGUAGGGGAGCGUUCUGUAAGCCUGCGAAGGUGUGCUGUGAGGCAUGCUGGAGGUAUCAGAAGUGCGAAUGCUGACAUAAGUAACGAUAAAGCGGGUGAAAAGCCCGCUCGCCGGAAGACCAAGGGUUCCUGUCCAACGUUAAUCGGGGCAGGGUGAGUCGACCCCUAAGGCGAGGCCGAAAGGCGUAGUCGAUGGGAAACAGGUUAAUAUUCCUGUACUUGGUGUUACUGCGAAGGGGGGACGGAGAAGGCUAUGUUAGCCGGGCGACGGUUGUCCCGGUUUAAGCAUGUAGGCUGGUUAUCCAGGCAAAUCCGGAUAAUCAAGGCUGAGGUGUGAUGACGAGGCACUACGGUGCUGAAGUAACAAAUGCCCUGCUUCCAGGAAAAGCCUCUAAGCAUCAGGUAACAUUAAAUCGUACCCCAAACCGACACAGGUGGUCAGGUAGAGAAUACCAAGGCGCUUGAGAGAACUCGGGUGAAGGAACUAGGCAAAAUGGUGCCGUAACUUCGGGAGAAGGCACGCUGGUGUGUAGGUGAAGUCCCUGCGGAUGGAGCUGAGACCAGUCGAAGAUACCAGCUGGCUGCAACUGUUUAUUAAAAACACAGCACUGUGCAAACACGAAAGUGGACGUAUACGGUGUGACGCCUGCCCGGUGCCGGAAGGUUAAUUGAUGGGGUUAUCCGUAAGGAGAAGCUCUUGAUCGAAGCCCCGGUAAACGGCGGCCGUAACUAUAACGGUCCUAAGGUAGCGAAAUUCCUUGUCGGGUAAGUUCCGACCUGCACGAAUGGCGUAAUGAUGGCCAGGCUGUCUCCACCCGAGACUCAGUGAAAUUGAACUCGCUGUGAAGAUGCAGUGUACCCGCGGCAAGACGGAAAGACCCCGUGAACCUUUACUAUAGCUUGACACUGAACAUUGAGCCUUGAUGUGUAGGAUAGGUGGGAGGCUUUGAAGCGUGGACGCCAGUCUGCGUGGAGCCAACCUUGAAAUACCACCCUUUAAUGUUUGAUGUUCUAACGUUGGCCCCUUACCGGGGUUGCGGACAGUGUCUGGUGGGUAGUUUGACUGGGGCGGUCUCCUCCCAAAGCGUAACGGAGGAGCACGAAGGUUAGCUAAUCCUGGUCGGACAUCAGGAGGUUAGUGCAAUGGCAUAAGCUAGCUUGACUGCGAGCGUGACGGCGCGAGCAGGUGCGAAAGCAGGUCAUAGUGAUCCGGUGGUUCUGAAUGGAAGGGCCAUCGCUCAACGGAUAAAAGGUACUCCGGGGAUAACAGGCUGAUACCGCCCAAGAGUUCAUAUCGACGGCGGUGUUUGGCACCUCGAUGUCGGCUCAUCACAUCCUGGGGCUGAAGUAGGUCCCAAGGGUAUGGCUGUUCGCCAUUUAAAGUGGUACGCGAGCUGGGUUUAGAACGUCGUGAGACAGUUCGGUCCCUAUCUGCCGUGGGCGCUGGAGAAUUGAGGGGGGCUGCUCCUAGUACGAGAGGACCGGAGUGGACGCAUCACUGGUGUUCGGGUUGUCAUGCCAAUGGCACUGCCCGGUAGCUAAAUGCGGAAGAGAUAAGUGCUGAAAGCAUCUAAGCACGAAACUUGCCCCGAGAUGAGUUCUCCCUGAGACUUUAAGUCUCCUGAAGGAACGUUGAAGACGACGACGUUGAUAGGCCGGGUGUGUAAGCGCAGCGAUGCGUUGAGCUAACCGGUACUAAUGAACCGUGAGGCUUAACCUU